Molecule: non-coding RNA, 358 nt
Organism: Lolium perenne
Lineage: Eukaryota; Viridiplantae; Streptophyta; Magnoliopsida; Poales; Poaceae
Source: RefSeq, a predicted model, not a curated record
GUUGGAUCCAGCAGGAUCAACUAGCUCUAGUUUGAGCCACAAAAGAAUAAGUUCAGAAAUACCUUGGUCUGAAGAUGAUGCCAUGCCUCCUCUUGUUUAAUUGCUCACACCAGGAUGGAGCAAUUUGUGCUAGGUUCUUCCUAGUGCUUUAGUGCUAGCCUGAUCGGUGGCUUGUUCUUGAGAGAGAGUGUGUAAGAGAGAAGACAGAGAGCAGCAGCCGUCUUCAACCUCUCCUCUUCUAGGUCAUUUGACCCCUUUUAUAUGUUUAGCACUAUGCACUAGGGGAACCAGCACCGUUGGAUCAAAAUCGAUGUCUCCGAUCAAGACAACACAUAAGGAUAGGUGGCCAUUUACUGUA